This 253-nucleotide ribosomal RNA is filed under the name uncultured bacterium. Its description in RNAcentral is "partial 16S ribosomal RNA". It matches the Rfam family "Bacterial small subunit ribosomal RNA", at positions 524 to 776 of the family's 1533-position model. The record is from RNAcentral.
UACGUAGGGCGCAAGCGUUGUCCGGAAUUAUUGGGCGUAAAGAGCUCGUAGGCGGUUUGUCGCGUCUGCUGUGAAAACUCGAGGCUCAACCUCGGGCUUGCAGUGGGUACGGGCAGACUAGAGUGCGGUAGGGGUGACUGGAAUUCCUGGUGUAGCGGUGGAAUGCGCAGAUAUCAGGAGGAACACCGAUGGCGAAGGCAGGUCACUGGGCCGCAACUGACGCUGAGACGCGAAAGCGUGGGGAGCAAACAGG